This 282-nucleotide long non-coding RNA is filed under the name Homo sapiens (human). Its description in RNAcentral is "HSALNT0056461". Lineage: Eukaryota; Metazoa; Chordata; Mammalia; Primates; Hominidae. The record is from RNAcentral.
AUGCCUUGGAGUUAUGGAGACAGAAGUCAGAAUACAGCAGGUUGAGAAGUAACUCGUCAAGAACAGUGAUUUGCAGCUAACAGAUGGUCAACUAAUUUUCAUUGGAUUCAAAUGAAUAGAACUCAGCUCCAACUUUGACAUUUUUAUCACCCCAGUGGAAUGCCUGGUUUUCAUUUGCAAAGCACACCUCACUUUUACAAGUGAAGCAUCAUGGACUAAGUAGAACAUGCGAAUCUAACAACCAGCCUCCUUUAUUGUUUUGACUCCGUAUUUCCAUAGACC